This 203-nucleotide long non-coding RNA is filed under the name Gossypium raimondii (Peruvian cotton). RNAcentral's name for it is "long non-coding RNA (GRAI_LNC002149)". Lineage: Eukaryota; Viridiplantae; Streptophyta; Magnoliopsida; Malvales; Malvaceae. The record is from RNAcentral.
AUUAAACUACAAUACCGUAAUGCCGAAAGCGUCGAUUCUUACUCCAAAUUUGCUAGCUCUGAUACCAAUUUCAUACGAACUCAUUAUAGAAAUGUUUCGAGUUGUAAGUAUUGCCCGAUCUUGAAUUGAGUAAAGAUAGAUUCGUUUCGGUUAAAAUGAAACAAAAUAGGUAAAUUGUUUCAAACAAAGAUAGUAGGAUAAAU